GUGGGGAAUCUUCCGCAAUGGACGAAAGUCUGACGGAGCAACGCCGCGUGAGUGAAGAAGGUUUUCGGAUCGUAAAGCUCUUUCGUUAGGGACGAACGUGCUCUUUGUGAAUAAUGAGGAGUAAUGACGGUACCUAAAUAAGAAGCCACGGCUAACUACGUGCCAGCAGCCGCGGUAAUACGUAGGUGGCAAGCGUUGUCCGGAAUUAUUGGGCGUAAAGCGCGCGCAGGCGGGAUAUCAAGUCUGUCUUAAAAGUGCGAGGCUCAACCUCGUGAGGGGACAGAAACUGGUAUUCUUGAGUGUCGGAGAGGAAAGUGGAAAUCCAAGUGUAGCGGUGAAAUGCGUAGAGAUUUGGAAGAACACCAGUGGCGAAGGCGACUUUCUGGACGAUGUCUGACGCUGAGGCGCGAAAGCUAGGGGAGCGAACGGGAUUAGAAACCCCGGUAGUCC
Molecule: ribosomal RNA, 450 nt
Filed under: uncultured bacterium
Lineage: Bacteria
Description: partial 16S ribosomal RNA
Rfam family: Bacterial small subunit ribosomal RNA
Source: RNAcentral